This 214-nucleotide ribosomal RNA is filed under the name Globigerinita glutinata. Its description in RNAcentral is "partial small subunit ribosomal RNA". It matches the Rfam family "Eukaryotic small subunit ribosomal RNA", at positions 1216 to 1389 of the family's 1831-position model. The record is from RNAcentral. Lineage: Eukaryota; Foraminifera; Rotaliida; Globigerinitidae.
UACCGGGUCCGGACACACUGAGGAUUGACAGGUAUUAUAUAGCACGUACUUUUGUGCGUGUCUAUUGUUAAAUAUGCUAGUCCUUUCAUGAUUAUGUGAUAGGUGGUGCAUGGCCGUUCUUAGUUCGUGGAGUGAUCUGUCUGCUUAAUUGCGUUUCAGAUAAGGAUCUAUAUUCUUUACAAGUGUCGCAGUGUAAAUUGACCCCUCUUUCACG